ACACAUGCAAGUCGAGGGGCAGCAUCAUCAAAGCUUGCUUUGAUGGAUGGCGACCGGCGCACGGGUGAGUAACACGUAUCCAACCUGCCGACAACACUGGGAUAGCCUUUCGAAAGAAAGAUUAAUACCGGAUGGCAUAAUUAUUCCGCAUGGGAUAAUUAUUAAAGAAUUUCGGUCAUCGAUGGGGAUGCGUUCCAUUAGGUUGUUGGCGGGGUAACGGCCCACCAAGCCUUCGAUGGAUAGGGGUUCUGAGAGGAAGGUCCCCCACAUUGGAACUGAGACACGGUCCAAACUCCUACGGGAGGCAGCAGUGAGGAAUAUUGGUCAAUGGACGAGAGUCUGAACCAGCCAAGUAGCGUGAAGGAUGACUGCCCUAUGGGUUGUAAACUUCUUUUAUACGGGAAUAAAGUGAGGCACGUGUGCCUUUUUGUAUGUACCGUAUGAAUAAGGAUCGGCUAACUCCGUGCCAGCAGCCGCGGUAAUACGGAGGAUCCGAGCGUUAUCCGGAUUUAUUGGGUUUAAAGGGAGCGUAGGCGGACGCUUAAGUCAGUUGUGAAAGUUUGCGGCUCAACCGUAAAAUUGCAGUUGAUACUGGGUGUCUUGAGUACAGUAGAGGCAGGCGGAAUUCGUGGUGUAGCGGUGAAAUGCUUAGACAUCACGAAGAACUCCGAUUGCGAAGGCAGCUUGCUGGACUGUAACUGACGCUGAUGCUCGAAAGUGUGGGUAUCAAACAGGAUUAGAUACCCUGGUAGUCCACACAGUAAACGAUGAAUACUCGCUGUUUGCGAUAUACAGUAAGCGGCCAAGCGAAAGCGUUAAGUAUUCCACCUGGGGAGUACGCCGGCAACGGUGAAACUCAA
RNAcentral lists this ribosomal RNA (860 nucleotides) under uncultured bacterium. RNAcentral's name for it is "bacterial SSU rRNA". It matches the Rfam family "Bacterial small subunit ribosomal RNA", at positions 51 to 904 of the family's 1533-position model. The record is from RNAcentral.